RNAcentral lists this unclassified non-coding RNA (310 nucleotides) under Fuscoporia gilva. Its description in RNAcentral is "partial internal transcribed spacer region". The stretch from base 1 to 46 matches the Rfam family "Eukaryotic small subunit ribosomal RNA", at positions 1786 to 1831 of the family's 1831-position model. The record is from RNAcentral. Lineage: Eukaryota; Fungi; Basidiomycota; Agaricomycetes; Hymenochaetales; Hymenochaetaceae.
AAGUCGUAACAAGGUUUCCGUAGGUGAACCUGCGGAAGGAUCAUUAUUGAAUUUUGAAGUGGGACGCUUGAGCUGGCAUUGCAGGUGCUCGGCGUCUCCAUUCAUUCCAAUUCAAACACCUGUGCACCUCGAGAACGUGAGUUGGGUUAUUGGAUCUGUGGUUCAUUUAUUCCCUUAUUUGGGUUGAACUUAGUGAAGGUGCCCCGCUUUCGUUUCUUAUUACAAACUCGUUAUAUUGUUUUGUAGAAUGUAUCGCCUUUAAAUAGGCAAAGUCUAAAUACAACUUUCAACAACGGAUCUCUUGGCUCUC